UAGGGAAUAUUGGACAAUGGGGGCAACCCUGAUCCAGCCAUGCCGCGUGAGUGAAGAAGGCCCUCGGGUUGUAAAGCUCUUUUGUCCGGAAAGAAAAGCAUUCGGUGAAUACCCGGAUGUUCUGACGGUACCGGAAGAAUAAGCACCGGCUAACUUCGUGCCAGCAGCCGCGGUAAUACGAAGGGUGCAAGCGUUACUCGGAAUUACUGGGCGUAAAGCGUGCGUAGGCGGUCUGUUAAGUCUGCUGUGAAAUCCCCGGGCUCAACCCGGGAAUGGCAGUGGAAACUGGCGGGCUAGAGUACGGUAGAGGAUGGUGGAAUUCCCGGUGUAGCGGUGAAAUGCGUAGAGAUCGGGAGGAACACCAGUGGCGAAGGCGGCCAUCUGGACCAGUACUGACGCUGAGGCACGAAAGCGUGGGGAGCAAACA
Molecule: ribosomal RNA, 427 nt
Filed under: uncultured bacterium
Lineage: Bacteria
Description: bacterial SSU rRNA
Rfam family: Bacterial small subunit ribosomal RNA
Source: RNAcentral